GCAAGUCGAGCGCACCUUCGGGUGAGCGGCGGACGGGUUAGUAACGCGUGGGAACGUACCCUUCUCUAUGGAAUAGCCAUUGGAAACGAUGAGUAAUACCAUAUACGCCCUUCGGGGGAAAGAUUUAUCGGAGAAGGAUCGGCCCGCGUUAGAUUAGAUAGUUGGUGGGGUAAUGGCCUACCAAGCCGACGAUCCAUAGCUGGUUUGAGAGGAUGAUC
This 218-nucleotide ribosomal RNA is filed under the name uncultured bacterium. Its description in RNAcentral is "partial 16S ribosomal RNA". It matches the Rfam family "Bacterial small subunit ribosomal RNA", at positions 57 to 305 of the family's 1533-position model. The record is from RNAcentral.